ACCACUAAACUUUCAGUUCAUUUUGUGCGCGAUCCGACUCGGUCCUAUCCUUGAUUUGGUCCUCUCCUAUUUCCAAACCAUACCGAAUAAUAAUUAUUGUGAAUCAAUCAUCAAAAAUGGACACAUACACGUUUCUUUGUCUAUCGUUUUCGUGGCUACUGUUUGUAGUUAGCGUGCAUUAUGUAACGUUCGAGCAUUUAACUGAAGUUGGAAGACAUACGAUUGCUACCGUGGGUUUGGGCAUGCUCGCGUUGGGCACUGGACUUUACGUCAUUCAUGAGAGCCAGAGGCGCUUAGCUGAAGAACGGGCUCGCGAACGCGCUCGUGAACACGCUCGUGACGAACACGCUCGUGACGAACAAGCGCCCGCCGAGCACGCGCGAACUAAAGAAGAAUAAAAUAUGAAAAUGAAAAUAUUGCUGUUGGGACUGCACUGGUCCGACCUGUUCGUCUACAAAACACCUGGUGGAGGAGGCCUGCCGGCGGUCGCUGGAGGCCCUCUGACUGGACUAUAUCGACCUGAUACACAACCCUACGUCUUUCAAGAAAUGGGCGAAACCACGCGAAACCCACAGCAGUAUUUUUUUUAACUUUUUGACAAGGUCGUUUGGCCAUGUUUUAAUCAAUUUAUGUAGGUACCUAUUGUA
Molecule: long non-coding RNA, 647 nt
Organism: Ostrinia furnacalis (Asian corn borer)
Lineage: Eukaryota; Metazoa; Arthropoda; Insecta; Lepidoptera; Crambidae
Exons: 4
Source: RefSeq, a predicted model, not a curated record